This is an RNA transcript of Cercocebus atys (sooty mangabey), 715 nucleotides long. It is a transcript of the gene named frataxin, mitochondrial pseudogene, with no coding region annotated. The record is from RefSeq and is a predicted model, not a curated record. Lineage: Eukaryota; Metazoa; Chordata; Mammalia; Primates; Cercopithecidae. The transcript is spliced from 2 exons.
AUGUGGACUCUCAGGCGCCACGCAGUUGCCGGCCUCCUGUCGUCCCCCAGCCCGGCCCAGGCCCAGACCCUCACCCGGGCCCCGCGGCCGGCAGAGUUGGCCCCGCUCUGAGGCCUCCAGGCCCUGCGCACUGGCAUGGAUGCAACCUGCACACCCCACCACGCCAGUUCGAACCUCCAUGGCCUCAACCAGAUUCGGAAUGUCAAAAAGCAGAGUGCCUAUUUGAUGAAUUUGAGGAAAUCGGGAACUUUGGGCCACUCAGCCUCUCUAGAUGACCCCACCUAUGAAAGACUAGCAGAGGAAACGCUGGACUCUUUAGCAGUUUUUUGAAGACCUUGCAGAAAAGCCAUACACCUUUGAGGACUAUGAUGUUUCCUUUGGGAGUGGUGUCUUAACAGUUAAACUGUGUGGAGAUCUAGGAACCUACGUGAUCAACAAGCAGACACCAAACUAGCAAAUCUGGUUAUCUUCUCCAUCCAGAUGUUAUAUGGAGUUGCUGGAGUAUGAGAAGAGCUUCUUCAUCCCAACAGCUUUCAAAGUGAAGCAGCAGCUCAUGCCUGUAAUCCCACACAGGAACACAACAAAGAAGCACCGACGCCAGUUAGAAAAUUAUGGCAACCAGUGUGACUGCCAUGGAAAGGCCCUUCCCACAUUUGGCACAUUUUCCAGGUCUAAGAGGGUUUUCAUCAGUGAAAGGGCUGUUGCUGAACAAUGA